This is a long non-coding RNA of Podarcis raffonei (Aeolian wall lizard), 990 nucleotides long. RefSeq lists it as uncharacterized. The transcript has 4 exons. Lineage: Eukaryota; Metazoa; Chordata; Lepidosauria; Squamata; Lacertidae. The record is from RefSeq and is a predicted model, not a curated record.
GUCCAUCAUCCUGUUCUCACAGCGGCCAACUAGGAAGUCCUUAAGCAGGACAGGAGCACAACAGCCCUCUCCCUCCAUAGGCUGAAGAUCUUUCUGUUUCAGGACCCGACACUCAUGGACUUGAGCACAGCUUCAACCCAUUUGGUGCUGGUGCUGGUGACUUUGAACAGGCAUUGGGAGGCAGAUGUGCACUGUUCUCUGUAAUUACUUUCCGCUCUCGUCUUGCCCUUUGCUGUCUGUUUGAAAUUUAACCUUAAUAGAAUCAGAAUGGCAUUUACCCAGGGAUCAUCUCCAGAAUGCUUGGAACUCACGGAAAUAAAGAAAGGUAUAAAAAACUGAGUGUCUGCAUUCCAAAGAGAAUAAGUACUGGUAUUAAAAUUGUGACUUGAGACUCCUUGUAUUGCCUUGAGAGAAAACAUCCAUUUUAGUAUGAGACAGAAAAUACUCAUUUGUGGUCAACAACAUCUGGCACAUUGGAUAACUUACCUCAUUAAAAUUUUAUUCACAGGUCAACAUUUGAUGUUAAGCAGCCAAGGCAGGAGAAUGUAAAUAGAAGAGGGCUUCUGGAUCAGACUAAAGGACCAUCUAGUGCAGAAUUGGGUUCCUGCAAUGGCCACCAGGAUACCUAAGGGAAGCUUGCAAGCAGGAUAUGAGUGCUCAGGUUCCUCAGCCACUGAUAUUCAGAGGCCGACUCUCUCCAAUAAUGAAAGAAAUCGAGAGCUAUCAUAAGUAGGAGUCAUGGAUGGCCUUAUCCUCCAUGAAAGAGGUGAGCCAAAUGUAUGUUAAACACACAAAGUGAAGCAUGUUGGGGGCAUGUUCUUUUGAUUAAAUCAAAAUAAACAAAUUUUAAAAAUAACUAAAAAAUAAACUGAUAACUAAUUUUCUAAAAGUUUUAUUGUUUUCUCUCAACCUACCAGAUCUAAAAAGUUAAAUAUUCAGACCCCUAGAUUAUAAUAUUCACAUUGAUUUGUCCAGCACCCCCACUGCUCU